RNAcentral lists this long non-coding RNA (378 nucleotides) under Trifolium pratense (red clover). RNAcentral's name for it is "long non-coding RNA (TPRA_LNC003665)". Lineage: Eukaryota; Viridiplantae; Streptophyta; Magnoliopsida; Fabales; Fabaceae. The record is from RNAcentral.
CCCUAUCUCAGUAAACACAGAUCGCACUCGCAACCAAGACAUCAGUAGCUACAUGAACGUCAAGAUGAGAAAGAUCGGUGUCGAAGACCUCGCGAGAAACUGGAGAAAGAUGUUUCAAAAACCACGACGAGAGCGUGUGCAAAGGUGCACGAGACAGAUCAGAAGGAGCCAUGGAAGUGUGAAUAUGUUGCAGUUUUAAUUUUUAUUGAGGAAGAUUGGAGUUCCAAUGUGACAAAAAUUGUUGUUUCUCAAAAAAAAUAAAAAUUUGUCAACUGGAAUAACCGGUUAGCAGGUAAUCAAAUAGAAAUAGUGGAUGAUGUGGCAAAUUAACAUUGGAGUGUGUUAGUGGAGUGUGUUAGUGGGUGUGACCCUAGCAUU